Molecule: ribosomal RNA, 327 nt
Filed under: uncultured bacterium
Lineage: Bacteria
Description: bacterial SSU rRNA
Rfam family: Bacterial small subunit ribosomal RNA
Source: RNAcentral
AGAGUUCGAUUCUGGCUCAGGACGAACGCUGGCGGCACGCUUAACACAUGCAAGUCGAACGGAGAAUUUUGGUUUACUGAGAUUCUUAGUGGCGGACGGGUGAGUAACACGUGAGCAACCUGCCUUCAAGAGAGGAAUAAUUUCUGGAAACGGAUUGUAAUACCUCAUAACAUAGCGGAAUCGCAUGAUUCUGUUAUCAAAGAUUUAUCACUUGAAGAUGGGCUCGCGUCUGAUUAGAUAGUUGGUGAGGUAACGGCUCACCAAGUCGACGAUCAGUAGCCGGACUGAGAGGUUGAACGGCCACAUUGGGACUGAGACACGGCCCAG